GAUGAACGCUGGCGGCGUGCCUAAUACGUGCAAGUCGAGCGAACAGACGAGGAGCUUGCUCCUCUGACGUUAGCGGCGGACGGGUAAGUAACACGUGGAUAACCUACCUAUAAGACUGGGAUAACUUCGGGAAACCGGAGCUAAUACCGGAUAAUAUAUUGAACCGCAUGGUUCAAUAGUGAAAGACGGUUUUGCUGUCACUUAUAGAUGGAUCCGCGCCGCAUUAGCUAGUUGGUAAGGUAACGGCUUACCAAGGCGACGAUGCGUAGCCGACCUGAGAGGGUGAUCGGCCACACUGGAACUGAGACACGGUCCAGACUCCUACGGGAGGCAGCAGUAGGGAAUCUUCCGCAAUGGGCGAAAGCCUGACGGAGCAACGCCGCGUGAGUGAUGAAGGUCUUCGGAUCGUAAAACUCUGUUAUUAGGGAAGAACAAAUGUGUAAGUAACUAUGCACGUCUUGACGGUACCUAAUCAGAAAGCCACGGCUAACUACGUG
RNAcentral lists this ribosomal RNA (497 nucleotides) under uncultured bacterium. RNAcentral's name for it is "partial 16S ribosomal RNA". It matches the Rfam family "Bacterial small subunit ribosomal RNA", at positions 28 to 507 of the family's 1533-position model. The record is from RNAcentral.